AGUGAACGCUGGCGGCAGGCCUAACACAUGCAAGUCGAGCGGCAGCGGGUCCUUCGGGCUGCCGGCGAGCGGCGGACGGGUGAGGAAUGCAUCGGAAUCUGCCCUGUCGUGGGGGAUAACCUAGGGAAACUUAGGCUAAUACCGCAUACGACCCACGGGUGAAAGCGGGGGAUCGCAAGACCUCGCGCGAUAGGAUGAGCCGAUGUCCGAUUAGCUAGUUGGCGGGGUAAAGGCCCACCAAGGCGACGAUCGGUAGCUGGUCUGAGAGGAUGAUCAGCCACACUGGGACUGAGACACGGCCCAGACUCCUACGGGAGGCAGAAGGGGGGAAUAUUGGACAAGGGGCGCAAGCCUGAUCAAGCCAUGCCGCGUGGGUGAAGAAGGCCUUCGGGUUGUAAAGCCCUUUUGUCCGGGAAGAAAUCGUCUGGGCUAAUACCCCGGGCGGAUGACGGUACCGGAAGAAUAAGCACCGGCUAACUUCG
This 482-nucleotide ribosomal RNA is filed under the name uncultured bacterium. Its description in RNAcentral is "partial 16S ribosomal RNA". It matches the Rfam family "Bacterial small subunit ribosomal RNA", at positions 30 to 505 of the family's 1533-position model. The record is from RNAcentral.